CCUCACGCGCCUGUCCGACGCCGGACGGGUAUCGAAUCGGGCUCGGUCCCGAUAUAUCUCUAGGGGGUGGCCACCCUCGCCUGCCAUUCGCACGCGAAACCCGCGCGCGACGAGUAACCCGAGCGGAGCGGAGUGUCGGCGAGGUAUUCCAAUUCGAGAACUUGAUCGGUUCCCAACUCCUGACGUGCGGAGGAUCGUGGACAAAAACAUCCCCCGCAGGAAACGAACUCGUAAACAAUUAAAUAAGAAACGGAAGCUUCGGGGAGAAGGAACUGUUCGUCGGAACUGAUUUUAGUCGAUCGUGGUGAAAGAGGAGAAAGAGACGAAAGGAGUCGGGGUGGACGAAGGACGAAGAGAAGAGUGACAUUCGCGCGAGGAGAUUCGCGGGCGAUCGAACGAGUACGCAGCAGCGUCGUGAAGAGGGUGAAAGAGAAAGAGAGGGAGAGAGAGAAAGAGAGAGAGAGAGGGAGGGAGAGGGAGAGGGAGAGGGAGAGAGUGAGAGAGAAAAAGUGUUCGAUUAGUCUGGCGACGAGGUCGAUCGGGCGAGGACGAUGGCAGUGAGCGCUUUCUCGACGACAUUGCACACCACCGAUUUUGCCACUACGUGUCCCACUACACCCGCGCUCUGGACCGAGGCGUUGCUACCACCCGAAGACGAGGAGGAGAACGUCCUGCACAUCGGUGGCAUCUUCCCUGUAGCUGGAGAGGGCGGCUGGCAAGGUGGCCAGGCUUGCAUGCCAGCUGCGCGCCUGGCCUUAGAGGACGUUAAUCGCGAAAAGAACUUGUUACGCGGAUAUAGACUGCACCUCCAUUCCAACGAUAGCGAGUGCGAGCCCGGCCUCGGCGCAUCCGUAAUGUACAACUUACUAUACUUUCCACCCUAUAAAUUAAUGCUGUUGGCUGGGUGCAGUACGGUAUGCACUACAGUCGCCGAGGCGGCGAAGAUGUGGAACUUGGUGGUGCUCUGCUACGGUGCAUCGUCGCCGGCGCUGUCUGACCGAAAUCGAUUCCCGACCUUGUUCAGAACGCAUCCUUCCGCCACUGUGCACAAUCCCACGAGAAUCAAAUUGUUGCAAAAGUUCGGCUGGUCUCGGGUAGCGAUAUUGCAGCAAGCCGAAGAAGUAUUUAUAUCGACCGUCGAAGAUCUAGAAGCACGAUGUAAGGAAGCUGGGAUAGAGAUAGUCACUCGUCAAAGCUUCCUGUCGGAUCCCACGGAUGCCGUGAAGAAUCUACGUCGUCAGGACGCUCGGAUAGUCGUCGGUUUGUUCUACGUCGUAGCCGCGAGACGGGUGCUCUGCGAGCUCUAUCACCAGAAGCUGUACGGCCAGUCCUACGUGUGGUUCUUCAUUGGCUGGUACGAGGAUGAUUGGUUCGAGAUUAAUCUGGAAAAGGAAGGCAUCACCUGUACGAAGGAGCAAAUGCGAAUGGCAGCGGAGGGACACCUGACCACCGAGGCACUUAUGUGGAAUCAGAAUAACGACACGACAAUCAGCGGCAUGACCGCCGAGGACUUCCGAAAGAGAUUGAACAAGUUGCUGAAAGAUGACGGUUACGACAUAGAUAACGAUCGAUAUCCGGAAGGAUAUCAGGAAGCGCCCCUCGCCUACGACGCCGUUUGGUCCGUCGCUCUUGCGUUCAACAGAACCAUGGAAAGGCUAAGCAAGUUGGGGAACAGUUUGAAGAACUUCACUUACGAAAACAAAGAGAUCGCCGACGAGAUAUACGCGGCGGUAAACUCGACCCAGUUUCUCGGAGUUUCCGGUCACGUCGCGUUUAGCUCGCAGGGUGAUAGAAUCGCUCUGACGCAAAUAGAGCAGGUGAUUGACGGGAAGUACGUUAAAUUAGGGUACUACGAUACACAAAGUGACAAUCUGACAUGGCGAAACGUAGAGCGAUGGAUCGGUGGCAAGGUGCCGCAGGAUAGAACAAUAAUAAGAAACGUUUUAAGAACAGUGUCACUGCCCUUAUUCAUAAGUAUGGCGGCCUUGUCGGUGAUCGGUAUCAUAAUAGCCAUCGGAUUGAUCGUAUUUAGUGUCUAUAAUAGGCACCGAAGAGUUAUAUAUUCGUCUCAUCCCAGCGCCAACACGAUAAUGCUAGUAGGAAUAAUAAUCUGCUUCUUGGCCGUGUUGUGUAUAGGAGUUGACGGUAGGUUUGUGACGCCGUGGCAGUUUUUGAUAGUCUGCCAGGCUAGAGCGUGGACGAUGUCGGUCGGUUUCACCCUGGCGUUCGGUGCCAUGUUUAGUAAAGUGUGGAGGGUCCAUCGACUCUCUACGAAGGCAAAAGCCGAUCAAGGAAAAUCAUUGACGGCUAAACAAAAAGUUUCGUCUAUACAGAAGAAGAUUGAACCAUGGAAGCUGUACUGUAUGCUGGGCGGAUUGCUGUCGAUCGAUAUCAUCCUCCUCGUCACUUGGCAAGUAGUCGAUCCGUUGCAUCGAAGAAUCGAGACCUUCGCCCUGGAACUACCUCCUUAUGGAGACGAGGAUGCAAUGAUCAAACCCGAAUUGGAACAUUGUGAGAGCGAACACAAUAGCUUGUGGCUCGGCUUGAUCUAUGGCUAUAAAGGCAUUGUCCUUGCUUUCGGGCUCUUUCUAUCUUACGAAACGAGAAGCCUCAAAAUCAAACUGAUCAAUGAUUCCAGAUACGUGGGAAUGUCGAUAUAUAACAUCGUAGUUCUAUGUUUCAUUACGGUACCUGUUGUAAUGGUCAUCUCUAGCCAACAGGAUGCGAGUUAUGCCUUCUCGGCGCUAGCCACUAUCUUCUGUUGCUUCCUCAGCAUGGCUCUCAUCUUUGUACCGAAGGUCAUUGAAGUGAUCAGGCAUCCCAAAGAUAAGUCCGAGUCGAGGUACAACCCGGACAGUGCAGUAUCCAAGGAAGAAGAAGAGAAGUAUCAGAAACUGCUCAUCGAAAACGACGAUCUUCAGAAGCUCAUUGCUGCGAAAGAAGAAAAGAUUCAAGCCAUCAAGCAGAAGCUGGCUGAACGUGACGCCCUAAAAGGAACCGGCACAAGUCGUUGCAGACAAAGUCAGCCCAAACAGUCCUUCAUCAUUGCUGACUAUCCGACCGGCGAGGGAACAUCGGACAGUGCUAUCGGUGGGGGUAUUUCCAUUUGUACAAAAUCCUCCCGCGCUUCCGCUUCUGAUGUUGAGUUUUCAGAGACGUACUUAUAAUCUCCUCACACACGUGACACGAGUAAAGUCAGAGGACACCGCUAUGGACGUCCUUAUGCAUUCGCGCGAUACAUUUGGGACCUAAAGUUCUUUUCAAUCGAUCUCGGUGAUUAUCGUAACGCUUCGCUUUUAAAUCAAAUCAUAUUUCCGGUAUUAUUUAUCGCACGCAGCACAUCGCCGAAAUGUACGAACUGCACCGACUAUGAUGCCAAAGCAAUACACACAAACGAGCGCUACGCUUGCGACAAAACUCUCUUCUAAAACUAGUAUUAAAUCUAUAACGUGCACACGGUCAAUAUGCGAAUAUAAUAUGCGAGUCUUGGAACACGCCAAAC
RNA transcript from Trachymyrmex cornetzi, 3502 nucleotides. It is a transcript of the gene named gamma-aminobutyric acid type B receptor subunit 1, with no coding region annotated. The transcript is spliced from 13 exons. The record is from RefSeq and is a predicted model, not a curated record. Lineage: Eukaryota; Metazoa; Arthropoda; Insecta; Hymenoptera; Formicidae.